Molecule: ribosomal RNA, 112 nt
Filed under: uncultured bacterium
Lineage: Bacteria
Description: partial 16S ribosomal RNA
Rfam family: Bacterial small subunit ribosomal RNA
Source: RNAcentral
AUGCCGCGUGAGUGAUGAAGGCCUUAGGGUUGUAAGCUCUUUCGUAUCGACGAUAAGGACGGUACUGACUGAAGAAGCAACGGUUAACUUCGCGUCAGCCGCCGCGGUAAUA